AACGUGACACAUUAGGUGAUAUGAAUAAAACCGAGCAUUUGCUCAUGCUCAAGCUGAUUCGAGCAAAGUAAAGUCUCUGAGCAUUUACUCAAAACGGUAUGAAUAAAACGAUACUUUACUCAGAGUAAGUUCGAAUUUCGAACAUAGCUUUUACUCUGUCAAAAAUGUUGUUUAUGUUUUGACCUGGGAUUGACUAUCAGAGUUUUGAGAGGAAAUAGAAUGCCCGUGGUGCAAAUAUAGAUAGUUUUUUUUGCCGAUUUUUUUUCUGUUUGCUGCCCGGAGAAACUCAACCAUCAUGUUCCAAGGAACGGUAUACACAGAACACCCAAGUGAUGAUUCUGCUGCAGUGUACGUACACGCGUGGUGGUAAUUCGUCCGUCCGUAACGCCCUCAUCGGUGGACAGGCAGUUAUCGAAAAAACAGGUGCCCAUACUAUCCAGCGGAAUCGGUGCCCAAGAACAAACAUAAAUAUAUGCACCAAAGGACAACACCCAUCGGAGUCCCUGCGAGUCGAUUGCAAGCGUUGAAAAACAGUAGCUCCGUCGUCACAACCCAAACCAGCUGCAAUUGUUGAAGAAAACUCUUUUUGUUUCUAUUUGUUGAAUAGACACUCAACAGAGAGUUACCAAACUAGCGGUCAAUUCGGCUGCCAUAAAUGGGUCCGACAUACCACCACAGGCGACCGGUGAAGAAGGCACGGAACAAGGCAGCGACAUCGAAGCUAACCGCUCCAGUGUGAUGAGGGAACAUGUCGGUUGGAAUAUGCUACGGCCACUCUAGGCCGUUACUAAAUAUAUUUAAAUAAAUUGUGGUACGAACUUAAAA
Aedes aegypti (yellow fever mosquito) is the source of this 825-nucleotide long non-coding RNA. RefSeq lists it as uncharacterized. The transcript has 2 exons. Lineage: Eukaryota; Metazoa; Arthropoda; Insecta; Diptera; Culicidae. The record is from RefSeq and is a predicted model, not a curated record.